AACGCUGGCGGCAUGCUUAACACAUGCAAGUCGAACGGAGGUUUAGUUUUUUUAAGCUUCGGCUUAGAUCAAUUAGAUUCUUAGUGGCGGACGGGUGAGUAACGCGUAAGAACCUACCUUUAGGAGGGGGACAACAACUGGAAACGGUUGCUAAUACCCCAUAAGCUGAGGAGUAAAAGGAAUAUUAUUCCGCCUAAAGAUGGGCUUGCGUCUGAUUAGCUUGUUGGUAGGGUAAAUGCCUACCAAGGCGACGAUCAGUAGCUGGUCUGAGAGGAUGAUCAGCCACACUGGGACUGAGGCACGGCCCAGACUUCUACGGAAGGCAGCAGUGAGGAAUUUUCCGCAAUGGGCGAAAGCCUGACGGAGCAAUGCCGCGUGGAGGAUGACAGCCUGUGGGUCGUAAACUCCUUUUCUCAGAGAAGAAGUUCUGACGGUAUCUGAGGAAUAAGCAUCGGCUAACCCUGUGCCAGCAGCCGCGGUACUACAGGGGAUGCAAGUGUUAUCCGGAAUUAUUGGGCGUAAAGCGUCUGCAGGUUGAUAUUUAAGUCUUUUGUUAAACCUCCGGGCUCAACCCGGAAUCUGCAAAGGAAACUAUCUAUCUUGAGUAUGGUAGGGGUAAAGGGAAUUUCCAGUGGAGCGGUGAAAUGCGUAGAUAUUGGAAAGAACACCAACAGCGAAGGCACUUUACUGGGCCAGUACUGACACUCAGAGACGAAAGCUAGGGGAGCAAACAGGAUUAGAUACCCUGGUAGUCCUAGCUGUAAACGAUGGAUACUAGAUGUUGUGUACCUUAGGGUAGGCAGUGUCGUAGCUAACGCGUUAAGUAUCCCGCCUGGGAAGUAUGCUCGCAAGAGUGAAACUCAAAAGAAUUGACGGGGGCCCGCACAAGUGGUGGAGCAUGUGGUUUAAUUCGAUGAUACGCGAGGAACCUUACCUAGGCUAGAAUGCGCGUGACCGGCUCAGAGAUGAGCCUUUCCUUCGGGACACAAAGCAAGGUGCUGCAUGGCCGUCGUCAGCUCGUGCCGUGAGGUGUUGGGUUAAGUCCCGCAACGAGCGCAACCCCUAUGUUUAGUUGCCAGCAUGUAAUGAUGGGGACUCUAGACAGACUGCCUGCGCAAGCAGUGAGGAAGGCGGGGACGACGUCAGGUCAUCAUGGCCCUUACGCCUAGGGCUACACACGUGCUACAAUGGACGGUACAGCGGGUUGCCAACCAGCGAUGGUGCGCCAAUCCCGAAAAGCCGUUCUCAGUUCGGAUCGGAGUCUGCAACUCGACUCCGUGAAGCUGGAAUCACUAGUAAUCGCGUAUCAGCAAUGACGCGGUGAAUACGUUCCCGGGCCUUGUACACACCGCCCGUCAAGCCAUGGAAGUUUGGUAGACCUGAAGCUGGUGCUCCGCAACGAAGCCAGUUAGGGUAGAACAGGUAAC
This 1427-nucleotide ribosomal RNA is filed under the name uncultured bacterium. RNAcentral's name for it is "partial 16S ribosomal RNA". It matches the Rfam family "Bacterial small subunit ribosomal RNA". The record is from RNAcentral.